This 253-nucleotide ribosomal RNA is filed under the name uncultured bacterium. RNAcentral describes it as "partial 16S ribosomal RNA". It matches the Rfam family "Bacterial small subunit ribosomal RNA", at positions 524 to 776 of the family's 1533-position model. The record is from RNAcentral.
UACGGAGGGUGCAAACGUUGCUCGGAAUCAUUGGGCGUAAAGCGCACGUAGGCGGACCGCUAAGUCGGAUGUGAAAGCCCUCGGCUUAACCGAGGAAGUGCAUUCGAAACUGACAGUCUUGAGUAUGGAAGAGGGUCGCGGAAUUCCCGGUGUAGAGGUGAAAUUCGUAGAUAUCGGGAGGAACACCAGUGGCGAAGGCGGCGACCUGGGCCAAUACUGACGCUGAGGUGCGAAAGCGUGGGGAGCAAACAGA